This 253-nucleotide ribosomal RNA is filed under the name uncultured bacterium. RNAcentral's name for it is "partial 16S ribosomal RNA". It matches the Rfam family "Bacterial small subunit ribosomal RNA", at positions 524 to 776 of the family's 1533-position model. The record is from RNAcentral.
GACGUAGGGCGCGAGCGUUGUCCGGAUUUAUUGGGCGUAAAGAGCUCGUAGGCGGUCUGUCGCGUCUGCUGUGAAAACCCGAGGCUCAACCUCGGGCCUGCAGUGGGUACGGGCAGACUAGAGUGCGGUAGGGGAGAAUGGAAUUCCUGGUGUAGCGGUGAAAUGCGCAGAUAUCAGGAGGAACACCCGUGGCGAAAGCGGCUCUCUGGGACGGUACUGACGCUGAGACGCGAAAGCGUGGGGAGCAAACAGG